This 312-nucleotide ribosomal RNA is filed under the name Triticum aestivum (bread wheat). RNAcentral describes it as "partial small subunit ribosomal RNA". Lineage: Eukaryota; Viridiplantae; Streptophyta; Magnoliopsida; Poales; Poaceae. The record is from RNAcentral.
AUGGAAGCAGGCGAAGUAGCGCACCCUGCCACCGAACAUGACAGCUCUGAGUAUUGGUUAAGAAGAUUUCCAACGCCAAAUCUGAACGAAGCUACAAAGGUGAACCAGCUAGCGAUGGUUGCAGGGAACAAGACAAUGGAUCCUCGUGAUGAGAGCAGAUGCGUACUGCUUGGUUUGGAUGGCAGAGGCAAACCAAAUAAGUGGGGUAAGGUUCUCUCAAAAAAAAAGUGGGGUAAGGAACACACACCACAUGGCCCAGAUGAACUGAAAACACUGCAAGAUGCGAUGGAAGAGAAACUCCAGGGCAAGUGA